This is a long non-coding RNA of Homo sapiens (human), 7917 nucleotides long. RefSeq lists it as uncharacterized. NCBI's taxonomy places the organism in Eukaryota, Metazoa, Chordata, Mammalia, Primates, Hominidae. The record is from RefSeq and is a predicted model, not a curated record. The transcript is spliced from 3 exons.
CCUUUUCAGCAUGAAGCUGCGCAGCAGCCUUUGUCUUCUCCAUGGGUAAGCUUAGAGACAGAGGGCAGAUCCAUGAAGAGGCCAUCCCAGGCUCUUUACAAAGGCACACUGAACAGACACAAUGGCAGCGACAGUUGUACCCUCAUAAUAUACCGUGUGCUCACCAAAGACCAACGCACACCUCCCUGACCUUCAUCGAAGACCUGAGUAGUUCCAGAGCAGGGCUCGGAAAGUCUCAACCCUGCUCAAAAAGCCCAGUCCAGACUGCCAACCCUUCACCAAGAUAUCGUCCCAGCCUGCCUUUUCAGGUAAAUUUGUCAUUUUUCCUCAAAUGAACCCUACCCGCUAGCCUGGACUCCUCACCCUUCCCUAAACAUACCUGAUAUCUCUGGUAUUUGAGGUUGUUGUUGUUUUUCUGGAAUACUUUCCUCACCAUUUCUACCUAUUAGACCUAUAUUUCAUUAGACCUAAACUCAAAUACUAUGUCCCAUGAUGCCUUUCUUCUCCAACUCAGAACCUUUUCCCUUACCCUUUAGACUCCAGAAUAUGACACUCAACUAUAGGUGAUAAUGAUCACAAUAAUGACAACAAUAAAAACAAAAAGUUAACAGUAUAUACCAUGUGCCAGGCACUCUUCUAGGCAUUGUACAUAACUUGGUUCAUUAAUCCUCACAUCACCCCGAGUUAGGUUCCAUUAUUAUUCCCAUUUUCAUUUUACAGGAAAAGCACUGAGAAUUAGUUGCUCAAGGUCACACAGUCAGUCUGGCUCCCUCAUAGAAACUCAUAAGCACAUCCUGAUGGGCCCCUCACAGCUCUUUUGUAAUUAGUUUCCUUUAGACUAAAGUGGAAAGCUUCUGGAGCUCAAGUAACCAAGCUUCCCAUACCUUUAUAAACCUUCAGAUGCCUCCUGUCAGAUAGAUGCUCAGCAAAAAACCUAUGUUUAAUGAACAGCUACUUUAAACAUAUAAGGAUAAGAAUGCAUCUACCCAAAAGGGUUAAUUCAGCUUAAUUAAUAAUUGGUGAAUGAGAUUUUAAAAGACUAUAUCACUACAACUAUAGUGGGAAUGCCCAAAAGAGGGGUAAAAUGAACUUUCUCAGCCCAGUUGUAUGAAAGCAUCAAGCCAAAUAGAGUCAAUUCACCAAUGAUGUGCUUCAAGAGAAAGCAAUAGACUGAUUUUAAAAAAUAAAAGCUCUAGGUCAUAUGAUUUGUAUUUGCUUAUAGAAAGUAUUUAGUCAAGGCAUACUCCCUCAUCCAAAUAUUCACUCUCCCACUUCCUCUGUGUCUAUUCUGAAGCCACACUCAGCCACUUCCAACAUGGGAUACAACGCAGCCAGCAGGAGGUGGAACAGAGCACAAAUCACCACAGAUGACUGUAAUUCAAUCAGCAUAUAUAUUUACUUAACGCUUACAAUUUGCACAGGAACCUGCACAUAUACGAGGGCACAGAGAUAGUCUGAAAUCUCCAUUAUGGAGCUUAAAGACACUGACUUCAAGGACUCUAAAGGGGGCUGGGAAUGGCCUAUGAAGUGACCAGACUCAACCUGAGCCUACCUUGCAUCAUCGCAGUGUUUAGAUGCCACCUCCUCCGUUUCCUUGGGAUCACAGCUCUAAAGUGAGACAGUCUUUUUGGCAACCCAAUAAGAUCAGGCCCCUGCCUUAUGUUCUCAAAGCUCUCUGCCUUCUCCUUCAAAUUCGUAUACCAGUUUGUUUCUGUGGUUAUUUGAUUGAGCCUGUCUCCCCAAGUAGGCUGUAAGACUAAUGACAGCAAGGUUUCCAUCUCUUUUUUAUCUGCAGGACUCAACACUAUGCCUGGCAUGUAGCACACACUCAAAAAAUGAUGGACGAUUGCACAAAUAGUGGGCGUUUUAUACGAGGGGAAGCAUGACAUAGACACAGGUUCUUUCCCCAUUAGUGGCAUGAAACUAACCCUCUAUGCUUCCAUUGCCUUAGGUAUAAACUGAGGAUAAUAAUUGUAACUAUCACAUAAGGUUGUUUGUCGGGAAGAAUAAAUGAAUUAAUAAUGUAUGUAAAGUGCUCAAAAUUAUAUCUAGCACAUAGCUCUUCUACAGCAAGGGACAACAAAAAGGAGAUAAACUUUGGUCCCAAAAUGUUUUUUUUCCUUUCCACCAUCUGUCUCUGGGUGAAUCUGGACCCACACUGUUAUUAUUUCUCACACCUUCACCCUAAAGCCCGUCUAUGUAUACAAACAUCAGAAUAUGAGGUUGUAAAUGUCCCUAAUAAGACCAUGAUUUAGUUCAACCCUCUGAUUAUAGAGUACAGAUGUUGAUCCUACUCUCAGUUCUGCCUCUUUAAACAGCCUCCCUAGUCUCCUGAUGCCUUAGUAUCAACAUCCAUAAAAUAAAUGCCACUGGUCCCUGCUUUACCAAACCCAUUAUCAAAAUAUCAGAAGAUCCCUGAGGUGGGCCAUGUCUUUCUGCAACAAAGUACAUGAAAUAAGAAGCGAGUUACUGUUACUAGCACUGUAUUCAUUUUUUCUAUUUGAAUGUCUCAUGAACAAAAGAAUUAGAUUCCCAAGUUGGAUUUGUUUUUAGGAAAGGAAAGCACUCACCAGUUACCUGCAAAGAAUGAACCACACAAGUCCAUGAAAAGAAGUCCAGCAUAGAAACAGAAGUCCAUCAUAAAAAUGCACUGCAAGGCAAAAAACUCUGCAAAAAGCUGAAACAUAAAACUUUUAAAGUCUCUUCCUUGGCUCCCAAAACUUGGUUCUCAGACUUCUUAAAUGUCAGGGCACUUAAUUUAUAAACUGUUUUUUCCUAAAGACAGCAUUAAUUGUGAUACACAAACACAAACAAAUUGUUUAAUUUUGUUAUUUUUAGCAACAUUAUUUUCUUAAUCAUUUCCUCCCAUUAUAUCCAGUGACUCAGAAAACAAUAUCUACAUUCAACUUUAUAAUUUUUUAAAAAUAGGAAAAAGUUAUACAUUUCUCAAAUGCAUAAACAAUUCCACUUUGUUCUAAUUGCUUGUGGAAAUAGAAAUAUUCAAUGUUAAUCACAUAUGAAUUAGGAAAGUCAGUCUGAUUACAAAUCAGAAACACAACUGUAUUUAAAACUUGUAUUAUAUUCAGUCUAUUUUAAAUCUAUCAUGCUAAAUAGUCUAAUUAAAACAGAGUAAGAAUGAAUGUCUUUUGUUUCCUACAGUCUUUGGUUGAACAUGUUGUAAAAUAAAGUCAUUCUUCCUGUUCUUCAAGUUUUGAGUCCAUUAUAAAUCACAGAUUAUGAAGUCAGCAAAGCAUAAGACAAUAUACCUGCUUAACAAAUAUGGAGGCAAGGCUAAUCAUAGAAGUUAAGCAGAACCUGACAUCAGGUCUCUAUAGACAUCACUUAUUUCUACCCUAAAAAUACUUAACAAUUUUCAGUAUUUGAAUCCUCAUGAGAAUGAGGUCUAGAAAUGAGUAUGUUUUUUGUUUGAGGUGCUGUUUGCUCUGAAAUACCCUCAUGUGACAUCUCUUUACAGUUUAAUUUGAAGCUGGGAUUUAACAUACAGUCAACAAACAGCAGACUUUAUUUAUUUGACAAUUCGUUUAGAAUAGAAAUACUCUCUCACCCCUCUCAUGGGUAUAAUUAGAGUGAAACCAGUGGGAGCUUUUUGAUGGGCAAUUUAGGGAGAAUGGCAGACAAUAUUAGCCAUGUGUGUCUUCCCAUCUAAUUUGAUUACAACCAGAAUUUUCAUAAUCAGCCUAAAAAGAUAUCCUUCCAGAACUGACAGCUACAGCCAGCACAAAUGCACAUCUCUUGCUAGCAUUGUCUCAGUGACACAAUGCUUCUCUUCUGCCUGAGGUGAGUUCAUGUACCAGCAUAGACCUCACUGAGCUGGUUGUGUGACAGUAAACUAGUCCAACCCCUUAUAAAGCAAACAAAGGAAACACCAAGCCAAUGUUCUUAACACACAGAAACCUAAAAGGACACGUUAAUGGGGGAAAGGAGAAAAUGUGUCGCCCCAAAAUAACCUCAGUCCCUUAGUCUUACGCAAGCUGAGCAAAAUACUGUUAUGUUACAACAUGCAGCUAAAUAUAACCCUGUAGAACAUUUAUCAUUCAUCAUCAAAAGGUAGUCCUUAUAUAAAACGCAAAAACAGACUCACUCCAGAAUAUCACUUGAAUAAUACAUACUCCCAAACUGAAUGGUUUCAUGUUAAAAACUCCUGGUGCUGAGUUUCACUGCUUACUUCUGGGUAUAUCAUGAGCUUCAUUUCAUAAAACUUUCCAAAUGAAGAAAGAAAAUGAAAAAAAAGUAUGUUAUUUAAACCCAGGACUGAAUUGGAUCAAGUUUACAAGGCAAGGAACCAUAACUUUGUAAUGAAGAUGGUGACGCAGAUCCACUGUAACAGACCAGGACUGGAUGUUUAAAUCCUCUUAACACCUGUUAGCAAUUAUAGAAAGUCUUUAAAUUGCAAAUACAUUAUACUCCAAACAUUUAUCUGUAAAAGAUAAUAUGCGGUUUUUUGUUUUGUUUUGUUUUCUGUUGUUGUUGUUUAAAGUAGAGAUGGGGUCUACUAUGUUGCCCACGCUGGUCUCGAACUCCUGGGCUCAGGCAAUCCUACCGCCUUGGCCUUCCAAAGUGUUGGGAUUACAGGCAUGAGCCAUUGUGCCUUGCCAAGGAUAAUAUUUUGACUUCUGGAAAUAUUUUCCCAAAGACAAAAUCUUAGGAUUUUAAGUUUCCUAAGCUAGUCCAAACAUGAUAAUAUAUUCACUAUUAUCAUUAAAAUCAUAUAUCUAAAAUAAAAUGUAGUAGAAGACACUAUUUUCAAAAUUAAAACUAAAAUAAUUAAGUAAGUGUGUUAGUUUCUUAAGUUAAUUAUCUUCCCUCAAUGCUAAUACUUGAGGGAAAGCUAAAUUAGAAAAACUUGAAGAAAUCAAGGAAUACAUCUAUAAUGGCUUUAAAGUGAACCCUGAAUUAUUUCUAAUGUUUUGAUUGGUACUUAAUUAUAUACAAUUCUGCUUCAAAAUGCAUAACUUUCCUCAGUAUUUGGCAUUGUGAUUACAGCUGAUUUCAAAUCUGAGGCAGUGGAAAGCAGGGCAAAUAUGAGAGGAAAUUUUCUUGCUGUCACUGGAAGGAAAGUAAUUGAGGAGAAAAGUGAACAAGAAAGAUCAUAAACUUUCUGGGAAUAACAGGAGGAAGCCUACCAAACUUGCCAGGGAUGGAACCAAACUUGUGGGGGUUGCUUCCCAUGUACUUAUGGCAACUUUAGGCAGUCUGUGAUCUCCUCGAAGAGAGAAGGUGGUAGACCAGCAACCCAAUGUAUUUAUUUUAGUAACUAGAGUAUAUACUUAAGGAACUGUACAUAGAAUUGUUUUUAAAAUUAAAAUUUUAAGAAGCCUUUUCAUAUAUAGUCAUUUUAUUCUUUUUCAAAUUUCAGGAAGUUUACAGGUGAGAUGUUAUCCAAACUUCUAACACAAAAGCCACAAAGCAUGUGAACUAAAUCUCAGGUCUAGAAUCAUAGUAACUUGUAAGCUACUGUUCUUUGAACUCACUGAAGAAUAGAAAACUAACAAUGCACACAAACAAGGAACUGGUUGUUCUCUUCCAGUAUUUACAAGAGUUGUUGCUUAGAGAAAGCAGGAGAAACAAGAGUUUUGCCCAUCAGUCAGGUGUUUGCAGAAAAGAUUCUGUGGCAAUUUUUCUGUGCAUUAGCCCCAACUGUUCAAACAUGUGCCACAUGACAGUAUUGUCCUUCGAGAAGAUAACAGAAAUUAAUCAUCCUUUUUUCUUUUUUCUUUUCUUUUUGACAGUUUCGCUCUUGUCACCCAGGCUGGAGCGCAGUGGCACGAUCUCAGCUCACUGCAACCUCCAUCUCCCGGGUUUAAGUGAUUCUCCUGCCUCAGCCUCCCAAGUAGCUGCAGAAUUAAUCGUUCUUAAAUGUGCAUAGAUUUUUUUAAGUAAACAUGUUCCCUACAUACUUUAGCUUACUAACUUCCACAAACAGCAGAACUGAAACAAUUACAGCUUAAAUAAAAGUAACUUAAACCCAAUCAACAGAUCCAUUGCAUACAUACUAUAUAUAUAUAUAUAAUAUAUAUAUAUAAAAUAUAUAUAUAUAAAAUAUAUAUAUAUAAAAUAUAUAUAUAUAUAUAUAUAUAUAUAAAACAUACAGGAAGUUCACCCACCUUCCCUGCAGUAACUGGGAACUUCCCUCCUAUUCUGGCUCACUACUGUAGGCAGACCUCACUACUUCCAGAAAACAGCCCCCCUUCACCCUGGCCAGCAAUUUCUCACCCCCAUCUUCCUAUGAGCAACAAGACUUGAAUGGCAGGUUUCCUGGUAGUAAGGAAAAUGAAGAAGGAGGAAGGAAAAGGAGAAAAACAGAGAGCUUUCCACAGUUCUACACACCAGAUCUAAUCCCAGGAGAUCCCCCACUUUAAGUACUCCUCACAAAAACCUUUAAAGGUUAAGUAAUCAGAGCAUUAUGGCAGAGUAGCAUAAGAGAAAUCGGAACGAUACAGAUAACUGUACCAUGGAGAGCUUCAAGUGACAUUCUAAAAGGUGAGUUUUUAAAGUGUUUUUAAGUGUACGUCAGGUCAUUUCAGCUCCCUAAGAGACCCACAGGUCACGAAGAAUAAAAUUCGAACUUGCUCUCACAUACAAGCCCUAGCAGAGACUUUGGCCUCAUCGCCUGCAUUAUAGCCUUUUUAGCCACAGCAGCUUUGUCUUGGUUCCUCAGCCUUUCCUAGUUCAUUCCCACUCUAAAGCCUUUGUAUGUGUUGUUCUCUGCCUAGAAUGUUCUUCCUCUUUAUCAGCAUCACCACCCCAAAGAGGGCAUCUCUGAACUUCCAAUCUGAAGUAGCCAGCCAGUCACCAGCACAUCACCAACUUGCCAUUAUCACUGACCUCUUAUUUGUUUGUUUCUCCCAGCAAAAUCUAAGCUCUGUCAGGACAGGGAUUUUCUCUCUCUUGUCCAUUACCAUAUCCUUAGAGCUCAGAAGGGGUGUCUGGCCCAGGUGCUCAAUGACUGUUUGUUCAAUGAAAGAAUGAACAAAUGAAUCACACAAAAGGAGAGAGGAAAAUACUAUUUCCCAUUAAAAUGAAGAAAGAGUUUUUAUUAGAAGGGAAGGCCACAGCAGCCCUCUACUACCCUCUUUUGACUAAACUUCCAGGAAAUUCAUUACUAAGUUUUGGGCUUCAGUAAGUCAGAGUCAAUUUCUGUUACACACACCCAAAAAACUCCGACAGCCAACUAAGAAAGGAGGAAAAGGAAGGAAAAACAAACCAAUAGGAGAUUCCUUUCAUUCUUGUCUGAAGAAAAAAAACUUUUUAAAGCAAUAGGAGAGAAGUGAUCAGAACACAGGAAGGAGAAAGAGAUGGAACCAGUAGGAAAAACAAAAACAAAAAUGGAGAGGGAAAGGUACACAGAGACAACAAGAAAGAGUGAUAGAGGAGAAAAGAGGUAAGCGGUUAUUCACACAACAGUGUUCCCUUGCACUAUGGGUGUCGAAGUAAGCUGAGGGCUGCGAAGGUAGAGGCAAAGGACUGGAAUGCCAAUAAUAUAGGAGGCUCUUGGGCCUGUCAGUUCUGCCUCCUGUGACAAGUUAAUUUAUCCAGGUUUACCAGUAUGGUGAGGAUGGGGAGUGGAGAAGGGUGGGCUGGUUAGGUAGGUCAGGGAGAGAUCUUCUCUAAGAUGUAUCGGUUCCUAUAACUGAACAAAAAAAAAUCACUAUACAGCUCUACCAGAGCAGUUCUUCAGAGGAGAAAUUAUUCUCCGCAUUGCUAGAGUAACACAGUAAAAGUCAGAGACCUCCAAUCUCAUCCUGAAGUUCUUGUACUUAACCUGAGGUCUAGAUCAACCAAUGUUCCUUAAUAAAAAGGAGCAGGAGAGAGAUAAAAAUUUUUUAAAUUGAAUUAAUAGCGAGAAUUCGGUGAUCACCAUCGUGGUUAAAUCCCCCAAAUUUUAAUUGUAAUAAA